GACGAACGCUGGCGGCGUGCUUAACACAUGCAAGUCGAACGGAAAGGCCCUGCUUUUGUGGGGUGCUCGAUUGGCGAACGGGUGAGUAACACGUGAGUAACCUGCCCUUGACUUUGGGAUAACUUCAGGAAACUGGGGCUAAUACCGGAUAGGAGCUCCUGCUGCAUGGUGGGGGUUGGAAAGUUUCGGCGGUUGGGGAUGGACUCGCGGCUUAUCAGCUUGUUGGUGGGGUAGUUGCUUACCAAGGCUUUGACGGGUAGCCGGCCUGAGAGGGUGAACGGCCACAAUGGGACUGAGAGACGGACCAGACUCCUACGGGAGGCAGCAGUGGGGAAUAUUGCGCAAUGGGCGGAAGCCUGAUGCAGCAACGCCGCGUGCGGGAUGACGGCCUUCGGGGUGUAAACCGCUUUCGCAUGUGACGAAGCGUGCGUGACGGUAAUGGGUAAAGAAGCACCGGCUAACUACGUG
This 468-nucleotide ribosomal RNA is filed under the name uncultured bacterium. RNAcentral's name for it is "partial 16S ribosomal RNA". It matches the Rfam family "Bacterial small subunit ribosomal RNA", at positions 28 to 507 of the family's 1533-position model. The record is from RNAcentral.